Thermochaetoides thermophila DSM 1495 is the source of this 85-nucleotide non-coding RNA. NCBI's taxonomy places the organism in Eukaryota, Fungi, Ascomycota, Sordariomycetes, Sordariales, Chaetomiaceae. The record is from the annotation of a RefSeq genome assembly.
GACAGCUUGGCCGAGUGGUUAAGGCGACAGACUUGAAUUACAUCUGUUGGGUUCGCCCUCACAAGUUCGAAUCUUGUAGCUGUCG